GGAUGCGAUCAUACCAGCACUAAAGCACCGGAUCCCAUUUUAGAACUCCGAAGUUAAGCGUGCUUGGGCGAGAGUAGUACUAGGAUGGGUGACCUCCUGGGAAGUCCUCGUGUUGCAUUCC
This 121-nucleotide ribosomal RNA is filed under the name Aegilops speltoides var. ligustica. Lineage: Eukaryota; Viridiplantae; Streptophyta; Magnoliopsida; Poales; Poaceae. The record is from RNAcentral.